AUCUCUUGAUCACAAUCCCAAUUCAGGGUUUGGAUCUCAUAUCUGACUUCUCUUUCGCAUAUCAAGUUAAAAUACUUGAUUUAAAUAUUCUGAACAAUUCAUAUAAUAAAAUAUAUAUUAUAUAAAUUCUAAUUAUCACUUCAUAUAUUAUUUCCAAUCAUGUUUUCAUGGAAAAUAAUUAAUAAAAACAUUUCUGCUUACAGAAAUUAAUUACCAUAAAAAUAUAAUUUGUAGUAAUUAAUAAUUCCAAAAUUAUUUCUAAUUUUUCAAGUAAUAAAUAUAUUCGCAUUUAUCGUUCACAUUACUAGACACUUAUUCUCGUCAUUAAAAAAAAAAAAAUUAUACGCAAAUUUUCUUAUUUAUUUUAUUUAGGAAAUCUCGGGUUAUUACAUUCACCCUCCCUUAUAAGGAUUCCGUCCCCGGAAUCACCGCUUUAAAAACUCAUAUGCAGAAGGGUACAUAACAUAUAAUCAUUGUACGUAGAUCUCGAUCAUACUUGAUCGAACUGAUCUUUAACUAUUCUCCAUAACGCUUGUCUAUCUGAUAAACAGAAAUUUGAUCUCUAAAAGAACUCAAAUUCCUUCCUCAAAAUUUCUUUAAUAAAGUAAUUUACUAUAUGUAUAUAUACAGGAAAAUCAUAUAAGACACAUAAGUUAUUCAAAUAGCACCUGGAGUUCUAUUUCCAGCUGCCACCGUAUCCUCAACUGCUACGAUAUCUUGAACGACCAUAAUGAAGACACUUACGGUUUAUUUCGUUGUCGCCUAUAUCUUGCUGUCAUUUCUCGUAUUCACAUUCCUUAUCUCAUUUCUUCUUCUUUCACCUUAUACUCUUUCAUCUUAUACUCCAUUGAUUCAUAAAUAAAACAUUUGCUAUACAUCAUUGAAUUGAGACAAUUAGAAGAGAUAUGUCUCUUCUGCCCUCACACAAAGCACACAAACUUUUUCUUUAUCUCAUUUUCCUUUUAUCGUAUAGGUGAUAAAAGUUAUAUUUUGCCCUUUUCGUUAUCCUAACUAUAAUAAACGCUUCUACUGAGUCACUUAAUCCUCUAUACCCUAGCAAUAGGAUUGCCUUAAAGUCUUUGGCGUUCGACGUUCGAUUAUC
RNAcentral lists this long non-coding RNA (1102 nucleotides) under Panax ginseng (ginseng). Its description in RNAcentral is "long non-coding RNA (PGIN_LNC005674)". Lineage: Eukaryota; Viridiplantae; Streptophyta; Magnoliopsida; Apiales; Araliaceae. The record is from RNAcentral.